RNAcentral lists this long non-coding RNA (397 nucleotides) under Oryza brachyantha (malo sina). RNAcentral describes it as "long non-coding RNA (OBRA_LNC001119)". The record is from RNAcentral. Lineage: Eukaryota; Viridiplantae; Streptophyta; Magnoliopsida; Poales; Poaceae.
AGAUCGGAAUGGAAGUCAUCAGGAUAUCGACCGCAGCUAUGUGUGUUCUUCAAUCUAGACCUAGUUUUACCUACAUGGCAGCUUGUCUUGCUGAACGUUUCACCGUGCAGACAGAUAGAUACCAAACGCAUUAGGACGAUGGAUGUUUUGAAGCACCGGGACAGCACGAGGAAGAGUUGGCUUGUGGAAGGCUUGCAUAGCGAGCCUACUGCUACAAGGCAGGUAGCCUGGGAUAGUGUUUUCGGAUUGUCGUUCGUUUGGAUGGGUCUAAAGGCGAGCAUACGCGCAUCUGUUAAUAAACAAAUUUACAUGAUCAAAAGUUUAGGUAUAUAUAAAUGUUUUAUUUUUAUACAUAAAAAUUUAAAAAAAACAAAUAUAUAACAUAUAAAGUAUAUAU